RNAcentral lists this transfer RNA (66 nucleotides) under Limnogonus poissoni. RNAcentral's name for it is "tRNA-Met". Lineage: Eukaryota; Metazoa; Arthropoda; Insecta; Hemiptera; Gerridae. The record is from RNAcentral.
AGAAAGGUAAGCUAAGAUAAGCUUUUAGGUUCAUACCCUGAAAAUAGAAUUAAGUUCUUCUUUCUA